UACGGAGGGUGCAAGCGUUAAUCGGAAUUACUGGGCGUAAAGCGCGCGAGGUGGUUUUGAUAAGCGAGAUGUGAAAGCCCCGGGCUUAACCUGGGAACGGCAUUUCGAACUGUCAGGCUAGAGUAUGGUAGAGGAGUGUGGAAUUUUCCUGUGUAGCGGUGAAAUGCGUAGAUAUAGGAAGGAACACCAGUGGCGAAGGCGGCACUCUGGACCAAUACUGACACUGAGGUGCGAAAAGCGUGGGGAGCAAACAGGAUUAGAUACCCCGGUAGUCC
Molecule: ribosomal RNA, 275 nt
Filed under: uncultured bacterium
Lineage: Bacteria
Description: partial 16S ribosomal RNA
Rfam family: Bacterial small subunit ribosomal RNA
Source: RNAcentral